ACUCCUACGGGUGGCUGCAGUGGGGAAUAUUGGACAAUGGGCGAAAGCCUGAUCCAGCCAUGCCGCGUGUGUGAAGAAGGCCUUUUGGUUGUAAAGCACUUUAAGUGGGGAGGAAAAGCUUAUGGUUAAUACCCAUAAGCCCUGACGUUACCCACAGAAUAAGCACCGGCUAACUCUGUGCCAGCAGCCGCGGUAAUACAGAGGGUGCAAGCGUUAAUCGGAAUUACUGGGCGUAAAGCGCGCGUAGGUGGUUAUUUAAGUCAGAUGUGAAAGCCCCGGGCUUAACCUGGGAACUGCAUCUGAUACUGGAUAACUAGAGUAGGUGAGAGGGGAGUAGAAUUCCAGGUGUAGCGGUGAAAUGCGUAGAGAUCUGGAGGAAUACCGAUGGCGAAGGCAGCUCCCUGGCAUCAUACUGACACUGAGGUGCGAAAGCGUGGGUAGCAAACAGGAUUAGAUACCCUGGUAGUCCACGCCGUAAACGAUGUCUACCAGUCGUUGGGUCUUUUAAAGACUUAGUGACGCAGUUAACGCAAUAAGUAGACCGCCUGGGGAGUACGGCCGCAAGGUUAAAACUCAAAUGAAUUGACGGGGGCCCGCACAAGCGGUGGAGCAUGUGGUUUAAUUCGAUGCAACGCGAAGAACCUUACCUGGUCUUGACAUAGUGAGAAUCUUGCAGAGAUGCGAGAGUGCCUUCGGGAAUUCACAUACAGGUGUUGCAUGGGUGUCGUCAGCUCG
This 735-nucleotide ribosomal RNA is filed under the name uncultured bacterium. RNAcentral's name for it is "bacterial SSU rRNA". It matches the Rfam family "Bacterial small subunit ribosomal RNA", at positions 335 to 1062 of the family's 1533-position model. The record is from RNAcentral.